CUGUGCUAGCUGGGGAGGUAGCGGUGCCCUGAACUUGCAACCCGCUAGAGCAAGAGUGAUGCUUUGUCUGCGGCCAUAUUUUGUUUGGUCUGCCCCUAGAAAGUGGUGUUGAGAAUUCAGUCUUACGCAAUAGACACUUAUGAACCGUGUCAGGUCUUGACGGAAGCAGCACUAAGUAAGGUAGUUUAUGUGCCGUAAGGGCGCUGUAUUUGAGCUAACUACUAGGGUAACGCUUGUGGAUUAUUGUCAAAGCAAAGUGCACAG
The sequence is a signal recognition particle RNA, 264 nucleotides long. It matches the Rfam family "Bacterial large signal recognition particle RNA". Rfam says of the family: The signal recognition particle (SRP) is a universally conserved ribonucleoprotein involved in the co-translational targeting of proteins to membranes. Archaeal SRP consists of a 7S RNA and homologues of the eukaryotic SRP19 and SRP54 proteins.